RNAcentral lists this ribosomal RNA (431 nucleotides) under uncultured bacterium. RNAcentral's name for it is "partial 16S ribosomal RNA". It matches the Rfam family "Bacterial small subunit ribosomal RNA", at positions 29 to 507 of the family's 1533-position model. The record is from RNAcentral.
AACGAACGCUGGCGGCAGGCCUAACACAUGCAAGUCGAGCGCCCUUUCGGGGGAGCGGCGGACGGGUGAGUAACGCGUGGGAAUAUGCCCUUCUCUACGGAAUAGCCUCGGGAAACUGAGAGUAAUACCGUAUACGCCCUGUGGGGGAAAGAUUUAUCGGGGAAGGAUUAGCCCGCGUUGGAUUAGGUAGUUGGUGGGGUAAUGGCCGACCAAGCCGACGAUCCAUAGCUGGUUUGAGAGGAUGAUCAGCCACACUGGGACUGAGACACGGCCCAGACUCCUACGGGAGGCAGCAGUGGGGAAUCUUAGACAAUGGGGGCAACCCUGAUCUAGCCAUGCCGCGUGAGUGAUGAAGGCCUUAGGGUUGUAAAGCUCUUUCAGCUGGGAAGAUAAUGACGGUACCAGCAGAAGAAGCCCCGGCUAACUCCGUG